GCUCUUUGGAGGAGAUUGCCUCAGCAUUUCCUGGUGAAGGCAUUCAUAUUGGAGACUGCUGGUUUCAUCAUCUUAGUGGAAGAUCUCUAUAGGACUAGAUUCCUCCUCUGAUAAGGAGAAAACUUGACACGUAGACAUGAAAUUUGGUCGUUUUCUUCCCUCCUUGCCCAUUUUGAUCACACAAAUCAAAAUCUGUGGUGACAGGGAAAGGAAGAACCAGAAAAGUCGUUAUUUGCAUUCAACUGCUCAAGACUUGCAAAGGAUUCCAGGAUUUAGUAUGACCAUGGAGCAUGUGGGCUUUUCUGCAAGUUACAAUUUGUCAUUUGAUGGCAAGCUUGGCAUUUAAACAAGUAUCAGAUAAAAAUGCAUAUGAUAACUUUUGAAGCCAUACUUUUCAAGUGUGAAGUAUGUAAAAGGAUAGUUUUUAAGUAAAACAGUCAUUACAUGAACAUUUUAACUUAGUGGAUACAAGAUGUCUGUGCAAAUCUCUUCCUGGAGAAUCAAAUGACCGUGCAGUAUAAUGUGCAAUGAAAAAGUAAGAGAUAAUGUAGCUGUGGAAGUUUCCUUUACCAAUUGUAACCUCUUAUACAUUUUACUGUUUUGAAACUUCAUACACACAAAAUCUCUGGUUUCAAUUGUAUCUAGCCAGAGGGAAAUGUAAAUUACAUUAAAACUACAUCAAAAACUAUAUUAGAAAUUGAAGUUUAAAAACUAUUAAAAAUUAUAAUUUUGUAUACACUUAUAAGAAUUAAGCAGAUAUUCAUCAUAUUAAGAUGUCUGCAUGCACUCCAAUCCCCCCACUGCAAUACGGCUGCCUCCAGUUCAGCAUCCAACACUUGUUUUCCUUUAGAAUCUAGAUUCAGUUUUCAUUCUCCAAACUCCAAGAGAUCCAUUUGUUGAGCUCUGACUGGAGAUAUGACUCUGAGAAAAGUUAAUUAUCACACAUCCUUCUGCAAAUACUGCUACCAAAGAUCUUCUGAAGCUCAGGAAGAAAGUACAAUCCUCGCAUUUUCUCUAUUGCUCAUAUUGGUUGAAAACCCAGAUCUGUAAACCUUUCCAAAUUACAUAAGAAAGUCUAAACAUGUGAGCUAUCACUUAUACAUAUACAUCAAGGCACAACAAUCUCCCCUCUAAGUGAAACUACAGAAUAUGAACAAAUAGAAACAUUUGAAGAACUAAUGUGGAUCUCUUCAGGUCUCUGUUGUUGAUACAUCAUUUUUGAAAGGGGCCAUGCCAGCCCUAUUUUGAUAAUAUAAUAAAUACAUUAAAUGAGUCCAAAGGUCCUCUCCACUUUCAUCACCCUGAAUUUAUUUAUUUUAUUUUACAGCUAUCCUUGGUCUUUGCAAUCCUUUCCUUGCAGAGUGCAGUAACUUACAUUUUCCCCCAUGCUGCUGUACAAAAAAUAAAUAAAUUGAUAAUUAAAAAGUU
Coturnix japonica (Japanese quail) is the source of this 1428-nucleotide long non-coding RNA. RefSeq lists it as uncharacterized. Lineage: Eukaryota; Metazoa; Chordata; Aves; Galliformes; Phasianidae. The record is from RefSeq and is a predicted model, not a curated record.